GUUUGUUGCUGCAAAUCAUAUUUGUUUUAGUGGUAUUGGGUUUUGUUAGUGAUGAGGGCCGUAUCAUUACAAAUAAUUGCUUAUAUGAUGUUUUCCAUUCGUUUGAUGUGUUUGUUAAUUUGACGUUUGAUAAGGGACUUACCGAUUUUAAUUUGACGUUUGAUAAGGGAUUUACCGAUUUUAAUUUGACGUUUGAUAAGGGACUUACCGAUUUUGAUUUGACGUUUGAUAAGGGACUUACCGUUUUUAAUUUGACGUUUGAUAAGGGACUAACGUUUUUAAUUUGACGUUUGAUAAGGGACUUACCGUUUUUAAUUUGACGUUUGAUAAGGGACUUACCGUUUUUAAUUUGACGUUUGAUAAGGGACUUACCGUUUUUAAUUUUCCUUGGAGUGCGGUAUUUUUUUUUAUUUUAAUUUUUUUUGCUAAUGUCUAAGUCUUUGGUCUCUGGUGGAGUAUUGCCUUAUUGCCAAUCAUACCACAUCUUUUUAUUUUUAUAAAAACGUAUGCAGGAGAACUAAAUCAAGAUGAUAAAAGUUUUAGUAAAAUGAUAGUUAAGUGGAAGUAAGCAGUUACUUCAAAUCAGGAAUAUGACAGUUAUCCGUUCGUUUGAUGUGUUCAUGCUCUUGAUUUUGCCAUUUGGUAGCGGAC
This 651-nucleotide long non-coding RNA is filed under the name Mytilus galloprovincialis (Mediterranean mussel). Lineage: Eukaryota; Metazoa; Mollusca; Bivalvia; Mytilida; Mytilidae. The record is from RNAcentral.